Molecule: ribosomal RNA, 466 nt
Filed under: uncultured bacterium
Lineage: Bacteria
Description: partial 16S ribosomal RNA
Rfam family: Bacterial small subunit ribosomal RNA
Source: RNAcentral
GAUGAACGCUGGCCGCGUGCUUAACAUAUGCUAGUCGAACGAUGAAGCCCAGCUUGCUGGGUGGAUUAGUUGCUAACGGGUGAGUAACACGUUAGUAACCUGCCCUUGACUCUGGGAUAAGCCUGUGAUACUGGGUCUAAUACUGGAUAUGACUUCUCAUCGCCUGGUUGUGGGUGGAAAGAUUUAUUGGUCUUGGAUGGACUCGCGGCCUAUCAGCUUGUUGGUGAGGUAAUGGCUCACCAAGGCGACGACGGGUACCCGGCCUGAGAGGGUGGCCGGCCACACUGGGACUGAGACACGGGCAAGACUCCUACGGGAGGCAGCAGUGGGGAAUAUUGCACAAUGGGCGCAAGCCUGAUGCAGCGACGCCGCGUGAGGGAUGACGGCCUUCGGGUUGUAAACCUCUUUCAGUAGGGAAGAAGCGAGAGUGACGGUACCUGCAGAAGAAGCGCGGGCUAACUACGUG